AGAGAGAUAGAGAGAGAGAGAGAGAGAGAUUACUGUAGCCUAAGCCGCGUUGCUCCUCACUCGGCUGCAUCUCUUUCGCUCACCUGCUCUGGAAUUUUAUGAUACGCAGCUUUUUUCAUCAGACAUCUUGAGCUGUCCUCCUCCAGGUGACAUGGAUUAAACUGAAUUCUCACUCUGUGAAGAAGGUGCGGCUUUUAGCGGCGCUUCCCGAAGUUGUUCCACAUCCCGGAGAGGUCGGUACCGGCUGGCUUUGCGCUCAGGAGGGGAUUAGAGAGGAGACAGCCUACCUGCCACUCGGAGAUGAACGCACGUCAUGCUGCUCCUCUUCAGCAGAGCGAUGGACGGAGAGAAAGCAGAGCGGGGCUGUAACUGGCGCCUUCAUGGAGCCCUGAUACGCAGGGCAGAGAGCAGGUGUGUGUAGUGUGUGUGUUUGUGUGUCAGUAUUUCUGAUUGGGUAAAAGCCAAUGUUAAACAGAUUGUGUUUGUGUUGGAAAACAAAUGUAAAGAUGACAUCAUUCUAGGGUUAAAGAGAGUGGCAUAAGGAGAGAGUGAGACAUACAGACAGUAAGAGAGAAGGUGGUUGUGAAGCAGAUAUAGACAGUGUGUGUGGUGCUAUGGUUUUAAACAUGUCUGUACCCCUAAACAAACCUGCAAGGUGUCAGGGAAGCUCAGUGUAAUCUGGCUCAGAGAGAGUGACGCACAAAGUCCCUGUCACAGCCUGCAGACACACUCUGUAAUCCCAUUUGCCUCUUCUGUGUGCAAGCGUGUGCGAGCAUUAUGCAGAAGUUCAGUUAAACUUGUGUGCAUGCUCAACUUCAUCAUGGACCCAAAAUAAGAUUGUUAUGCACUAUUUAUUUGCCCCUGAGAAAUGCAGUAUAAAGGAAACUGAUUUACUUCUUGUAUGUACAUUACAUAAUAAUAAUCAUAAUCAACAAUAAUGAUAAUAAUAAUCAUCUGUGGCUCGGAUGUGCAGGGACUGUCUGCAAAUUGGUACACCGAAAAAGCUGCUGUGUAAAAGUGCUCUAUAUUCAAAUAUGAACUUUGUGUUUAAAUAGCCAAAAAUAAAAACUUAAAGUAAGAAAUGGUCUAUACUAAGAAAAACAUUAAUAUGUGAAAAGCUAUGAGCACAUGAAGUAGUACAAUGGAAUAUCUAGUGUCUGAAUUUGGCCACGGGAUUGCGGUAAUCUAUAACAAAAUAUUAAAUUCCUGCGAGCCUGGUUCUCAUAAAGCGUGAAAUUCCUGCAUGAAUUUCGAAUGAUGUCGGCUUUACAUCCCCUCAUAAGUCACAGAGCAAACAUUUGCAUGGUUGAGUUCUAGACAGACUGAAGAGAGAGAGAGACAUUAGUCUGGAUCACCUGUGCUCACACACACUGAUAGGGUGGCGGGACAAGCGUUGUGCCUUAAGAUUAGGAGUUUCAUGUUUGUGUGGAUAACACACAAACACAUUCAUCUUAAAAGGAGAGCAGACUAAAGUAGUUUGUGAACAAAACCCUCAAAUAAAUUGCAGAACAGGCCACAAUUAAGAAAUGCAUCAUCUCAAAUGACCCAUUACAUGUAAGAUGAUUGUUCCCCUUGUGACUUAUGUGUUGUAUGUCAUUUGCAUGGGUUAAGGGGUUAAAUUAAUUACAUUGGUAAACUUUAUACUUGUUAUUGAUAUAUAUAAUCAAGUUCUCAGGCAUGUUCAGGCCCCCAAAAAAUGCAUUCAAAGAGUCAGAAAGAAAAAUAAUAAUACUAAUUGCUUCCAUGUUAAUAGAGUCCUCGCUCCGACGUCGGGCUCAGCCCUAAAAAUAACUCCUAAUACAACACCUAAUACUUAUGAUAAUAAAGCCUGACAGUUUCAAGGCAACAAUGUUCAUAAGCAAAACACUCACAAGAUGAGUAUAUAUAU
Molecule: long non-coding RNA, 1888 nt
Organism: Labrus mixtus (cuckoo wrasse)
Lineage: Eukaryota; Metazoa; Chordata; Actinopteri; Labriformes; Labridae
Exons: 3
Source: RefSeq, a predicted model, not a curated record